RNAcentral lists this ribosomal RNA (227 nucleotides) under uncultured bacterium. Its description in RNAcentral is "partial 16S ribosomal RNA". It matches the Rfam family "Bacterial small subunit ribosomal RNA", at positions 29 to 253 of the family's 1533-position model. The record is from RNAcentral.
AACGAACGCUGGCGGCGGGCCUCAUACAUGCAAGUCGAGCGCAUGUGCCGCAAGGUACAUGAGCGGCGUACGGGUGAGUAACGGGUGGAUAAUCUGCCUCCGGGUGGGGGAUAACGGCUGGAAACGGCCGCUAAUACCGCAUACGGUGGCCGGCCUUCGGUUGGUCAAGAAAGGGCGUUCGACAGCCUCGCCGGACGAUGAGUCCGCCUCCGACUUAGCUAGUUGGU